RNAcentral lists this long non-coding RNA (8127 nucleotides) under Vitis vinifera (wine grape). RNAcentral describes it as "long non-coding RNA (VVIN_LNC005260)". The record is from RNAcentral. Lineage: Eukaryota; Viridiplantae; Streptophyta; Magnoliopsida; Vitales; Vitaceae.
CUGUCCAGUAUCACACAUUUCUAUUAUCCAAUUUUUAACUAUAAAAGAACAAAAAAAUAAAGAAAUAAAAAGAAAGUUAUUAGAUACCUUCCAGCUAUUUAGAGGUCCUCCAUUCCUCAAGAAAUAUUCACUUCAAAAAUUUUCAAAGAAUCAUGGUGGAUAAGGAGAGAUUUGUUUUCUCAAGUGCAAACAUAUAUGGAAUUCAUUGGCAAAUCCACCUCAUAAAAGUUUAUGCAACUCCAUAUGGAUUGAUGGAUAUAAAAAAGAGAGAAAAUGAUGGAACCGAGGAGAGUAAAUAGGGCACUGGUUUAUAGUGGAAUAAGUAUAAUGAUAUACAAUCUGGACAUUACACAAUACAAAAAUUCUACUUGUGGGAACGGUCAAACCAAAGGACACAUGUUAUACGAAGAGACACGAGUCAUUUGGCGAUAGGGAUUUCAAUGGCAAUGACCUAGAAUGACCGCCCUGCUUUGAGGCAACCAUUGCAACAAGAUGUGAACCUUUCCCCUCUUAGGAUGGCAGACAUUGCAUCUAUUGUGACGAGAUAAACAAUAAAUGCUAUUAACUCCUCCUACAUUGCAUCAGAAGAACCUUCAACAUAAAUUAUGAAGCUAUGAUAGUUAAUCAAGGACAAGAUUAGGUGAUCAAUCACUCAGCUAUAGAAUGGAGCAGACAGCUCAAUAACUGGUGGGAUCAGACCCACCAAAUCAGUGCAACCCUGAAUGAUAUAAAGACCCACAAGGGAAGGGGGAUUUCUCUAUUUUGAAUUCCUUCUCUUACCAAUUUAUCUAUUUAAGCCCUUGAGAUGCCCAUCAUCGACUUGAUCCUCAGAAAAGAAUUGACCUAACUGGCCUCCCCACUCUAACCAUGCAUUUUAGUGUUAUAGAGGAAGGCUCAUCAAUAAGAAAGGUUAGCAACUUGCUUGGAGGGUGAAACUCUACUCAGACAGAAAACUUUAGUUUUUAACAUGGACUAUGUAGCAUAUAUUUGGAUAAGGUUAUGCUCCAAUCUCCACUGCUAGCAAAAAUAGGGGCACAACCUCAAGGACCUGACUUCCCAGCUAGAAUUCUUCUUAGGUACUGUUUUUGUGGAUGGGAGAGGAUAGUUGAUAUAGAAGAGAAUCCAAAAGAAACAUUAGUCAAUCAUAUACGUCACAAUUUCAAUGUUUCUAGCGUAUUUCUCUCCAGUAAACCGAGGCCCUUCUUUCCUCACAUAGAACAACAACAAAAGGUUCUCCAUUUUGGUGGUUGCUUCAGAUAAAGUGGUCUAUCACAGUACAAAAGACAUGCCAAUUGAAGGCAAAUGGGAAAUUUGCUAUCUUAAAAAAUCAUCAUAAUCAUUGAAAUUGUCAGAGACAUUCAUAAACAUAUUCUCAGAAAAGGGGGAAAUUGAAAGGAAAAUUUUGGGUAAAUUGGGUAUGCUGUAAAUCAUCAAUCCAGGAGUAUCCAAGACUUGUGAUUGCCAUAAGAAGAACCAAUUAAACCAGAGAAAAAAAAAAAGGAAAAAAAUCAUCAAGAACUGAGGGUUUCAAUCUCACCAAGAUAUCAAGCUUCCCAAACUGGGCUUUGAUGAAAUCUGCAAUGGAAGAAAUACUAGCAGGAUCCCCAACAUCAAGCUGAUGAAAAACCAGAUUAGAGAGACCAGAUCCUUUGAGACUUUCUAGAGCUUCAAGACCCCUCUUCUCAUCUCUAGCUGUUAACACCACUCUCACCCCAUUGGCAGCCAACUGCCUACAUAUUUCCAACCCAAUCCCUUUAUUUGCUCCCGUAACAACUGCAUACCUGAGUCACACCCAAUACACAAGAAAGUAAGAACAACAGUUGUUUUAUAUGUGGUUGGAGAUUGUGAAAAGGGCCAUGGGAUAAAAACCAAGUACCUUGUUGCUGCUUCAGCCAUUGUUGAUGAGAUGGGUACUGUGUUUGAAGUGCGGAAGAAGAUGGAAUUUUUGUUUCAUUGCAAGGUUUGUUGUACUAAAAACAAGAGCAAUGAAGAUUAUUGUAAUGCAUUCGAUUGAGACAGAAAUUACAAUUUACAAGUAGAGUUGUUGUUCCCUUUCUUAUUUUUUGUGGUACUCAUGAUUGGAUAUCGACAAAUUUAACAGGCUUUAGUUUGAAUUGUUUGGCAAAUCAAACUUGGUGUUUGGUAAUUGUUUCUAAAACUGCUAUACUAUAUAACCAAUUUUUUUGAUAAUUCAUUUUAAAAAUAUAAAGUUUUUUAAAAUAGAUUUAAUAUAUUUUUUUUAUCAUUUUGUGUAAAAUAUUAUUAAAAAUUUACCUUUGAUUUUUCAAACACAAUCUUAUUUUAAUUAUUUUUUAAAAUUAUUCUUGAUAAAAAUAAAAUAAAAAUAACAAGCCUUAAAUUUUUUUAUUAUACAAAGUCUAAGGUUAAUUAUAAAUUUAGAUAAAAAAAAUUUCCUACACAAAACAAAGACUUUUAAAAACAAGUAGUAGACUUGGAAGAAAAAAGGAAAAAAUGAAAUUCUAUUUCAUAUAUUAUGAAAGCGUGGGCCUUUUUAUAAUUAUUUCAUUUAUUAUGAAAAUGAGUUUCCUAAAUAUUCCCUUAUAUUACCCAUGUGAUAGAUGGUUUCUCUUCUCAAUUAUUUUGGAUAUCUUUUUAAUUACUCUCUAAUUUCAAAUUAUUUGACAUUAACGAGUUCAACAAGACAAAUUGAAGUUUUGCCCUUUCAAUAUAAGUCCUUAAUUUGAAUUAACUUAUGCAAUUCUUUGAAUAUUUACAAUAUAUAUAUAUAUAUAUAUAUAUAUAUAUAUAUAUAUAUAUAUAUAUAUAUAUAUAUAUAUAUAAGGGUUUGACUUUGACAAACUCUUAUCUCCCUGCCCUUUGCACCUUACCCCUUGAGGAAUCUAUGGGAAAAAAACAAGACACUUGUAAAAAAUAAAACAAUACAUGAUUUAAAUUUAGAACAAGACAGAUGUUGACUCUUCAACAUUUUAAUAGAUAACGAAUUUAUUAUAGGACAAGUUCCAAAAAAUUAAUCAGUUUAUAAAUUUAUUAUAAUCUAAACCUAAUUUUUUAGCAUACAAACCACACCCAAGUUUCUAAAUAUGUAUGUGGUCAUAAAAGCAAUUGCAAAUGCAAGGCAGAUGAUGACGCUCAUGUGAUAAUGAAGAUUGAUUUUUUUCAUAUAGGAAAAUGACAUUGUGACAUCAUGGAUCACGCUUUGGAUAGUAAACUGCGUCUAUGAUGUCACUAAUGACGUUUUUUACAAGUUUCAACCAAUGAAACAUCAUUAAUUUAAUUUUUUUAAUCAUGUCAUGUGGUCAUAUAUAAAAGCAAGCACAAUAUUAUUAUUGUAAUGAAAAUUGAUAUUCUUAUACGAUAUAAUCCAAUGACUAAGUCAAAAAUUAAAUUAGACGGUUGGUUUUCAUUUCUUAUUUUUUUGUGGUACUCAUGAUUGAAUAUAAAUAAAUUUAAUACUAGUUUGAAUUGUUUAAAAAAUAAAACUUAAAAAGAAAAUGGUGUUUCAUAAUUGUAUAACUGUUUUGAGAAUUGUUAUAUGAUGUAAGUAUAUAAUCGUUUUAAAAUUUUUGAAAUAUGGUUUUUUUAGAAAAAAUAUGAAAUGUUUUUCAAUCAAAUCAUUUUUAUGGGUUAUUAUUAAAUAUAAUUGAGAUUAUGACAAGCACGUAUUUGAGAUUUUUUUUACAUUCAAAUUCUUAGAUAUAAUCAUGUUAGAAUUAUUUUUAAGAAUAGUUAUUAAUAAGAUAAAAAUCCCUAAAAUUUUCUAUUAUACUCAUUAAAAAAAAACUCCUUAUUGUAAGGUGAGUAUAUAAGAAAUUGAUUAUAAUUUUAAAAAAAAAAAUCUUCUAUUUUAAAGAGAACAACUUGGUUUUAGAACAAAUACUGAUAAAAACAAGUUUCAAUUGUUCAAGAAUCCAAGAUCACAAGUCAUUAUGCAGUUAGAAAGACAUUCCAACAUAAAAAUUAGUCACCCUACAAAUCUAUGCUCACAUGCCAUAUGUACUAACAAAGCAUUCUAGCAUAAAAAUUAAUCAGUUUAUAAAUUUAUUCUAAUCUAAACCUAAUUUUUUAGCAUACAAACCACACCCAAGUUUCUAAAUAUGUAUGUGGUCAUAAAAGCAAAUGCAAAUGCAAGGCAGAUGAUGACGCUCAUGUGAUAAUAAAGAUUGAUUUUUUUCAUAUAGGAAAAUGACAUUGUGACAUCAUGCAUCACACUUUGGAUAGUAAACUGCGUCUAUGAUGUCACUAACGACGUUUUUUACAAGUUUCAACCAAUGAAACAUCAUUAAUUUAAUUUUUUAUAAUCAUGUCAUGUGGUCAUAUAUAAAAGCAAGCAAAAUAUUAUUAUUGUAAUGAAAAUUGGUAUUCUUAUAUGAUAUAAUCCAAUGACUAAGUCAAAAAUUAAAUUAGACGGUUGGUUUUCAUUUCUUAUUUUUUUGUGGUACUCAUGAUUGAAUAUAAAUAAAUUUAAUACUAGUUUGAAUUGUUUAAAAAAUAAAACUUAAAAAAAAAAUGGUGUUUCAUAACUGUAUAACUGUUUUGAGAAUUGUUAUAUGAUGUAACUAUAUAAUCGUCUUAAAAUUUUUUAAAUAUGGUUUUUUUAGAAUAAAUAUGAAAUGUUUUUAAAUCAUUUUUAUGGGUUAUUAUUAAAUAUAGUUGAGAUUAUGACAAUUACGUAUUUGAGAUUUUUUUUUACAUCAGAUAUAAUCUUGUUAGAAUUAUUUUUAAGAAUAGUUAUUAAUAAGAUAAAAAUCCCUAAAAUUUUCUAUUAUACUAAUUAAAAAAAAAACUCCUUAUUGUAAGGUCAGUAAAUAAGAAAUUGAUUAUAAUUUUUUUUUUAAAAUCUUCUAUUUAAAAAAGAACAAUUUGGUUUUAGAACACUGAUAAAAACUAGUUUCAAUUGUUCAAGAAUCCAAGAUCACAAGUCAUAUGCAGUUAGAAAGACAUUCCAACAUAAAAAUUAGUCACCCUACAAAACUAAACUCACAUGCCAUAUGUACUAACAAAGCAUUCCAGCAUAAAAAUUAAUCAUAAGCAAUUCUGGGUAGUCUUAUUAGCCUAGGAUUCAUACAAAUUAUAGAGAAGCCAUAAACAGUAUCUCUGUGCUAUGAUGUGCUUAGUUCAUAUGUAGUAAUGAAUCUUUUUCAGUUAAAAUUCAGACACUUCCUUCCGAACGAAGAAUUGGCCGGAAGGCCCCCCAUCAGGCAGCAGAGCCAAUCUCACAGGGCUUUCAGCACCUUCUUCGAUAGUUAAGAUGCCACUGUUGUAGUUUAGAUCUGUUUUGACAAAGCCAGGACAGACACAGUUGAUGCAAAGAGUAGGAUACUUCCUGGCCAGAAUCCUUGUGUAGGCAUUCAAGGCUGCUUUUGAGACUGUAUAGGCAGAGAGAUUAGAGGGCCAGCUUUUAGCUUCUAAUAAUCCCUCUUUGAAAUCUUUUAGAAACUGGUUUAAGACCUCAUCCACCCUCUCUUCUGUAAGGUUUUCAGCAUCACUUAACACUGCUUUUGCCCAUUCAUUCUUAAUAUUCUGGAACAACACAACAAGAAAAGUGAUGUAAGCAAAAAUACGACUUGGGGAAAUGCUUCAUUGACUCCCACACAAACAAAAGCCAACAGCUCUUAAUCAUUCACAACAGAUAAUUUCCAGGAAAAUAAGCAAGUUAUGUGCAUUAUAUAAUAGUAUGCAUUACCUCAAUAUUAUUAAUUACACUUACCAAACAGCAUCAAUCAACCCUUUUCUUCAUAUGGUUUUCUUCUAAACAAAUCAAGAUGUGACAAGUAGAUCUUCCAUCACCAAUCUAAAGUUCAAUAAGCUUACAAAAAUAUUUUGCUCUGUUGACUCAAUCAAGGCAUCUUUUGAGUGGAGCUGUAAUGAAAAAUUCACAACGAAACUUGAUCCUUCCAAGUUUCAAACUGAAUCAUUUGGCUCCAAUCCAACUCUACUGAAUUUCAUCAAAUUGCCCAAUUACAAACAUGGUUGAACAUCUUAAGUAUAUAUCAACAUUGUAUUCUGAAUGAGGAUUAGUGUUAUUUUGCACCUGCAGCUUUCCCAUUGAGGAGGAAACAUUGACAAUCCUUGGCGAAUCUGAUAACUGGAGAAGAGGAAUGAAAGCUUCAAUCAUCCUCUUUGGCCCAUAAUAGUUUAUUUUCAGGCAUUCUUCCACCAGCUCGAAAGGCUCAAUCAUUAUUUCCUUCCAAUUGACUUUUCCUACUGCCUGCAAAAUAAAAUGAAGAAAAUCUCAAUCCUCUUGGUAGCCAUUAUAUGCCCUACUCCAACAUAAAAAGAGAAGAAGAAAACUGCUUCUGGUAUGCAACAAGAUUUUCUUCCAUAAUUCUAGUUUCUAGAAAAGAUUUUCAUCUUCCUUUCAAGAGAAGGUAGAAGAAAAACUCAACAGCAUGGGGCCUUAGAAGUCUAAAUGUUGCUCCUUUUCAACUUUCAAAUAUACCCCAAUGGCUAUUAGAAUUUCAAAUCCACUCUUCUUUGAACUUACAGCCACAAUCAAUUGCUUUAAGCCAACAAAGAAAUUGUAUAUGAUACCUUACCUCAGCAGAAGCAAUUCUUGACCUUAAAGCAUCAGGAUCCGUUACAACCGUUCCACCUAUCCCUGCAUUGUUCACCUGUCCAGUAUCACACAUUUCUAUUAUCCAAUUUUUAACUAUAAAAGAACAAAAAAAUAAAGAAAUAUAAAGAAAGUUAUUAGAUACCUUCCAGCUAUUUAGAGGUCCUCCAUUCCUCAAGAAAUAUUCACUUCAAAAAUUUUCAAAGAAUCAUGAUGGAUAAGGAGAGAUUUGUUUUAUCAAGUGCAAACAUAUAUGGAAUUCAUUGGCAAAUCCACCUCAUAAAAGUUUAUGCAACUCCAUAUGGAUUGAUGGAUAUAAAAAAGAGAGAAAAUGAUGGAACCGAGGAGAGUAAAUAGGGCACUGGUUUAUAGUGGAAUAAGUAUAAUGAUAUACAAUCUGGACAUUACACAACACAAAAAUUCUACUUGUAGGAACGGUCACACCAAAGGACACAUGUUAUACGAAGAGACACGAGUCAUUUGGCGGUAGGGAUUUCAAUGGCAAUGACCUAGAAUGACCGCCCUGCUUUGAGGCAACCAUUGCAACAAGAUGUGAACCUGUCCCCUCUUAGGAUGGCAGACAUUGCAUCUAUUGUGAUGAGAUAAACAAUAAAUGCUAUUAACUCCUCCUACAUUGCAUCAGAAGAACCUUUAACAUAAAUUAUGAAGUUAUGAUAGUUAAUCAAGGACAAGAUUAGGUGAUCAAUCACUCAGCUAUAGAAUGGAGCAGACAGCUCAAUAACUGGUGGGAUCAGACCCACCAAAUCAGUGCAACCCUGAAUGAUAUAAAGACCCACAAGGGAAGGGGGAUUUCUCUAUUUUGAAUUCCUUCUCUUACCAAUUUAUCUAUUUAAGCCCUUGAGAUGCCCAUCAUCGACUUGAUCAUCAGAAAAGAAUUGGCCUAACUGGCCUCCCCACUCUAACCAUGCAUUUUAGUGUUAUAGAGGAAGGCUCAUCAAUAAGAAAGGUUAGCAACUUGCUUGGAGGGUGAAACUCUACUCAAACAGAAAACUUUAGUUUUUAACAUGGACUAUGUAGCAUAUAUUUGGAUAAGGUUAUGCUCCAAUCUCCACUGCUAGCAAAAAUAGGGGCACAACCUCAAGGACCUGACUUCCCAGCUAGAAUUCUUCUUAGGUACUGUUUUUGUGGAUGGGAGAGGAUAGUUGAUAUAGAAGAGAAUCCAAAAGAAACAUUAGUCAAUCAUAUACGUCACAAUUUCAAUGUUUCUAACGUAUUUCUCUCCAGUAAACCGAGGCCCUUCUUUCCUCACAUAGAACAACAACAAAAGGUUCUCCAUUUUGGCGGUUGCUUCAGAUAAAGUGGUCUAUCACAGUACAAAAGACAUGCCAAUUGAAGGCAAAUGGGAAAUUUGCUAUCUUCAAAAAUCAUCAUAAUCAUUGAAAUUGUCAGACAUUCAUAAACAUAUUCUCGAAAGAGGGGGAAAUUGAAAGGAAAAUUUUGGGUAAAUUGGGUAUGCUGUAAAUCAUCAAUCCAGGAGUAUCCAAGACUUGUGAUUGCCAUAAGAAGAACCAAUUAAACCAGAGAAAAAAAAAAGGAAAAAAAUCAUCAAGAAAUGAGGGUUUCAAUCUCAC